AACGCGAAGAACCUUACCCAGUUUUGAAAUGCAGAGGACAGUCUCAGAGAUGAGAAUUCCCGUAAGGGUCUCUGCACAGGUGCUGCAUGGCUGUCGUCAGCUCGUGCCGUGAGGUGUUGGGUUAAGUCCCGCAACGAGCGCAACCCUUAUCAUUAGUUGCCAACAGGUAAAGCUGGGGACUCUAGUGAGACUGCCUAGGUUAACUAGGAGGAAGGUGAGGAUGACGUCAAGUCCGCAUGGCCUUUAUAUCUGGGGCUACACACGUGCUACAAUGGUCGGUACAGAAGGCAGCAAAGCCGCAAGGUGGAGCAAAUCCCUAAAGCCGAUCUCAGUUCAGAUUGUAGGCUGCAACUCGCCUACAUGAAGUUGGAAUUGCUAGUAAUGACGUGUCAGCAACAACGUCGUGAAUACGUUCCCGGGUCUUGUACACACCG
This 434-nucleotide ribosomal RNA is filed under the name uncultured bacterium. Its description in RNAcentral is "bacterial SSU rRNA". It matches the Rfam family "Bacterial small subunit ribosomal RNA", at positions 958 to 1392 of the family's 1533-position model. The record is from RNAcentral.